GGGGCUGUAGCUCAGCCAGGUCAGAGCGCUAGCCUGUCACGCUAGAGGUCGCGGGUUCAAGUCCCGUCAGCCCCGCCA
Molecule: transfer RNA, 78 nt
Filed under: Armatimonadetes bacterium GBS
Lineage: Bacteria; Bacillati; Armatimonadota
Also listed under: 14 other names
Description: tRNA_Asp_GTC
Rfam family: tRNA
About the family: Transfer RNA (tRNA) molecules are approximately 80 nucleotides in length. Their secondary structure includes four short double-helical elements and three loops (D, anti-codon, and T loops).
Source: RNAcentral